GACGAACGCUGGCGGCGUGCCUAAUACAUGCAAGUCGAACGAGAGCAACCGGUGCUUGCACUGGUCAAUCUAGUGGCGAACGGGUGAGUAACACGUGGGUAACCUGCCCAUCAGAGGGGGGUAACAUCCGGAAACGGAUGCUAAAACCGCAUAGGUCUUCGAACCGCAUGGUUUGAAGAGGAAAAGAGGCGCAAGCUUCUGCUGAUGGAUGGACCCGCGGUGCAUUAGCUAGUUGGUGAGGUAACGGCUCACCAAGGCCGUGAUGCAUAGCCGACCUGAGAGGGUGAUCGGCCACAUUGGGACUGAGACACGGCCCAAACUCCUACGGGAGGCAGCAGUAGGGAAUCUUCCGCAAUGGACGCAAGUCUGACGGAGCAACGCCGCGUGAGUGAAGAAGGUUUUCGGAUCGUAAAACUCUGUUGUUAGAGAAGAACAAGUGCUAGAGUAACUGUUAGCGCCUUGACGGUAUCUAACCAGAAAGCCACGGCUAACUACGUG
RNAcentral lists this ribosomal RNA (498 nucleotides) under uncultured bacterium. Its description in RNAcentral is "partial 16S ribosomal RNA". It matches the Rfam family "Bacterial small subunit ribosomal RNA", at positions 28 to 507 of the family's 1533-position model. The record is from RNAcentral.